CCCUUGGUAGCUCAGUUGGAAGAGCGUGACUGUAAUUGAUAAGCUUGCCAUCUCAAGGUCAAUGGUUCGAACCCGUUCCGAGGGA
Rhizoctonia solani is the source of this 85-nucleotide non-coding RNA. The record is from the annotation of a RefSeq genome assembly. Lineage: Eukaryota; Fungi; Basidiomycota; Agaricomycetes; Cantharellales; Ceratobasidiaceae.